GGCCCCGGGGUGUCACACGUAAGGUUGCAAACCUUAAGAAGCAGAAUAGAUUCUGCCGGGGCUU
RNAcentral lists this transfer RNA (64 nucleotides) under Dendrobates leucomelas (yellow-headed poison frog). Its description in RNAcentral is "tRNA-Cys". The record is from RNAcentral. Lineage: Eukaryota; Metazoa; Chordata; Amphibia; Anura; Dendrobatidae.